AGCAUAUCAAUAAGCGGAGGAAAAGAAACCAACAGGGAUUACCUCAGUAACGGCGAGUGAAGCGGUAACAGCUCAAAUUUGAAAUCUGGCUCACGCCCGAAUUGUAAUUUGCAGAAGAUGCUUUGGGUGUGGCCCCGGUCUAAGUUCCUUGGAACAGGACGUCAUAGAGGGUGAGAAUCCCGUAUGUGACUGGUGGUCUUCGUCCGUGUAAAGCUCUUUCGACGAGUCGAGUUGUCUGGGAAUGCAGCUCAAAAUGGGUGGUAUAUUUCAUCUAAAGCUAAAUAUUGGCCAGAGACCGAUAGCGCACAAGUAGAGUGAUCGAAAGAUGAAAAGCACUUUGGAAAGAGAGUUAAACAGUACGUGAAAUUGUUGAAAGGGAAGCGCUUGCAACCAGACUUGUAGGCUGCUGAUCAUCCGGGGUUCUCUCCGGUGCACUCGGUAGCUUUCAGGCCAGCAUCGGUUUGGGUGGUGGGAUAAAGGCCUUGGGAAUGUAGCACCUCUCGGGGUGUGUUAUAGCCCAAGGUGCCAUGCUGCCUACCCGGACCGAGGACCGCGCUUCGGCUAGGAUGCUGGCGUAAUGGUUGUAAGCGACCCGUCUUGAAACAC
Molecule: ribosomal RNA, 606 nt
Filed under: uncultured fungus
Lineage: Eukaryota; Fungi
Description: eukaryotic LSU rRNA
Rfam family: Eukaryotic large subunit ribosomal RNA
Source: RNAcentral